Molecule: long non-coding RNA, 1279 nt
Filed under: Sus scrofa (pig)
Lineage: Eukaryota; Metazoa; Chordata; Mammalia; Artiodactyla; Suidae
Description: lncRNA (ENSSSCG00040045888.1)
Source: RNAcentral
UCGGUCUCUCUGUCUAAAAUAAACCGAGGUGGUCCCUGGUCUGGGCGUCCUAGGACGUGUCUGAACACCCCGCGGAGGAAGAAGACAGCACCAGCCACUGCUGGCACGGGGCUGCAGCCCCUGGCUACACACACCUCCGAAAGACAGCGGCGACUUCGGACACCUCUCUCCCGCCCCAGCCUGACUCCCCAGGGGCGGUGUGAAACCACAAGUGAUAAUAUCUCCCAUCGCCAGCUUUGAACUUCAGAUAGAAGGAGACCUUAUGGCAGUUGGACUAUCUGAGAGGUCAGUUUCUCCCUGCUUCCAACAGGGGGUGUGAUGUGGGUGGAAGCGGGGCCCUGGCCAAGUGGGGUGCGUUCAUCACCUCCUUUCUUGCCUUGCAACAAACAGACCUGGUGCCCUGUGCCGCCUCCUGCAUAAUGCAUGCGCGCGUGGUAGGAACAGAACCCCGUCCGUGGUGAGUCUGGCCGCUGUGGGCCAUGGACGUGUCCAGAGGCCUUGCCAAGGCUGGUGUCUCUAGGAUGUUGGCAGGAGUUGAGGAGACAGAGGGAGUAUGUGUCACCUGAAAAUUUUCCUGGGGCUGAGGUGGGAACAGGUUGCAUCUUGAGCCUCAGGAUUCUGCAAAGAAAAUAGGGGAAGACAUGAGUUCCCAUGGCUCAGCGGUAAGGAACCAAAAUAAUACCCACGAGGACGUGGGUUUGAUCCUUGGCCCUGAUCAGUGGGUUAAGGAUCCGGCAUUGCUGUGAGAUGUGGUGUAGGCUGCAGACUUAGCUUGAAUCCUGCAUUGCUGGCUGUGGGGUAGGUCAGCAGCUGCAGCUCUGAUCUGCAGACCCUAAAAAAGAAAAAAAGAAAAAAAAAAGUGGGCAGUCAGAGUGCCUCACAAGCCCAGGGAAGGCAUCACCUCAUUGGUUGGAUUCCACUCAUUCAUAGAAUCAGUAAGUACUCAAGGCCAAGCUAACUGCUAGGGCUUAAGAUAUGAAGAUGAGGAGUUCCCAUUGUGGCUCAGUGGUUAACGAAGCCAACUAGGAACCAUGAGGUUGUGGGUUCGAUCCCUGGCCUCACUCAGUGGGUUAAGGAUCUGGCGUUGCCUCGAGCUGUGGUGUAGGUCGCAGACUCAGCUCAGAUCCCACAUUGCUGUGGCUCUGGCGUAGGCCAGCGGCUACAGCUCCAAUUGGACCCCUAGCCUGGGAACCUCCAUAUGCCCCGGGUGCAGCCCUAGAAAAAAAAGACAUGAAGAUGAAUCAGGGGAGUUCCUGCUGUGGCUCAGUAGGUUAAGGAC